AUGCUCACCGUGCCCGCAUCGCCGGAAUCAGCAGCGUCACAAGACAACUCAGAGGAAGAGGACCUUUGUUUGCUCUCGACUGCUGCUACUUCAGGAAUGGAGUCGCCCAGGGCCUUCCGUAUGUUGGGAACCUUACAAGGGAAGUCUCUAUUGAUGCUGGUGGAUUCUGGUUCAUCGCAUAGCUUCAUUAAUUCGGAAAUUGCCAAGGAUUGGCCAGAGGUGCAGGCCAUGUCCAAGCCACUGCGGGUGAGGGUUGCCGAUGGGGCUGUGACAGUUUGCAAUACUGAGGUACCGGGGUGUGAGUACCACAUCCAAGGACAUGUCUUCCAGUCAACUCUCAAAUUGUUUCCAUUGGGCAGCUAUGAUAUGAUACUUGGGAUGGAUUGGUUGGAAUCUCGUGGAUUGAUGAACAUCUACUGGGGUGCCCAGAGCAUGAUUUUUCAGCAUCAGGGACAGUUUAUUCAGCUGCGAGGAGUGUCUGUGGACGCACACAAAUGCCCGAGCAUCUCUACGGUUCAGUUGCAACUUCUGCAGGCUCACGAAGCAGUGUUUGCCUUAGUGCAGCUCUGUUCGGUGAAGCCAGAGGGUGAUUCAUCAAGUAUACCGGCUGUAGUUCAAGAGUUGCUUGCGGAGUUCUCGGAACUGUUUGAGGAACCACGCGGAUUACCUCCUCACCGUUCCUUCGACCAUGUUAUUGACCUGCUUCCAGGGGCGGUCCCUGUCAACAUCAAACCUUACCGGUAUAGCCCAGCGCAAAAAUAUGAGAUUGAGGCCCAAGUGGCUGACAUGUUGGCUCAAGGGAUCAUUCAGAUCAGCUGCAGUCCGUUCUCGUUGCCGGUGUUGUUGGUGCAGAAGAAGGAUGGAGAAUGGUGUCUUUGUAUUGAUUUCCGGCACUUGAAUGCAAUCACAGUGAAGAAUCGCUAUCCCCUGCCAGUGAUCGAUGAGUUGUUAGAUGAGCUGCAUGGAUCAAAAUGGUUCACUAGUCUGGACCUACGGUCGGGGCACCAUCAAAUUCGGAUGAGGCCUUUGGACGAAGCAAAAACUGCCUUCCAAACCCACCAUGGUCACUUUGAGUUCAAGGUCAUGCCGUACGGAGUGACCGGUGGUCCGGCAACGUUUCAGACCGGGAUGAACACCAUGUUUUCUCCUUACCUGCGAAAAGGGGUGCUCGUCUUCAUAGACGACAUCUUGGUUCACAACAAAACUUUGGAAGAGCACGUGGCCCUCGUACGGUCGGUAUUUAAAACUCUGAAGGAGAACCAAAUGAAAGUCAAAAUGAGCAAGUGCACAUUUGCGAGCGAUCGGUUGAGGUACUUGGGACAUGUCAUUAGCGCCGAAGGGGUGCAAACUGACCCCACUAAUAUUGACAAAGUGCAAAAGUGGCCGAGCCCACAAUCAGUGAAAGAAGCGCGCCAGUUCCUCGGAUUGGCAGGGUACUACAGAAAGUUUGUGCGUCACUUUGGUCUAAUCAGUCGACCGUUGACUGAGUUGCUCAAGAAGGGAGCGGUUUUUCGUUGGACAUCUGAUCAUGAGGAGUCAUUCGAAGCCUUGAAAAGAGCCUUGACCUCAGCUCCUGUUUUGGCAUUGCCAAAUUUCUCCAAGCCCUUCGUGAUGGAGACGGAUGCCUCGGACAAGGGCAUUGGGGCUGUGUUGAUGCAGGACCAGCACCCACUUGCGUUUCUAAGCCAAACUCUUGGUCCACGGCUUUGUACACUCUCUACCUAUGAAAAAGAAAGCUUGGCUGUACUCAUGGCUGUCGAGCAUUAG
Molecule: ribosomal RNA, 1767 nt
Filed under: Triticum aestivum (bread wheat)
Lineage: Eukaryota; Viridiplantae; Streptophyta; Magnoliopsida; Poales; Poaceae
Description: partial small subunit ribosomal RNA
Source: RNAcentral